AACAGUGAUUAACAUUUAAGAGAGGUAGAGCCAUGCUUCAUUGGCCCAUUGUCAUGGCCGGCUCGACCGGAGUGUUACCACGGCUUCACAGAAUUCCGACGUUACCGGAGGCCCAAUUACCGCUCUACUCAAUCUACCCAAUCCCCGAUUCUCCAACAACCCUUAAAUUCCUAACCCCCCAGAAGGCCGGCAACGCACAUGUAAUGCCUCUGGUUUUUUGGGUGUCCGUGGUCAGUGGCGAUUGCUUACCAUCAGUUCGUUUAUCUGCGUAUACCGUAAAAAAAUAUAAUUAGGUAUUAAUUAAUUAAACUUUUUUGCAAACGAGUCUUACAUAUUCAGGCAAUUGAUUAUAUGGCCGUGAAGAGAGUCAUGCAAUAACAAUUGAUACUAUAGGAAUUUAAGCUAUUUAUAUAAAGGCGUUGACAUUGAAUCUCAAUCAGUUACUUUAACACAACGUUCGCAUUGACUAUUUGAUUGUUUGAAAGCAAGAAUACCAUUGAAAUAAUUCAAAUGAAUAUUUGUAAUCAGUCGUGACUUUUAUAUGAUUACUAAUUUAUUAUUAAAUUGUACCUUGUGUUUGAAAUAAAUGAUAAUUAAAACAG
Long non-coding RNA from Spodoptera frugiperda (fall armyworm), 602 nucleotides. RefSeq lists it as uncharacterized. The transcript is spliced from 2 exons. The record is from RefSeq and is a predicted model, not a curated record. NCBI's taxonomy places the organism in Eukaryota, Metazoa, Arthropoda, Insecta, Lepidoptera, Noctuidae.